Molecule: ribosomal RNA, 856 nt
Filed under: uncultured archaeon
Lineage: Archaea
Description: bacterial SSU rRNA
Rfam family: Archaeal small subunit ribosomal RNA
Source: RNAcentral
GACCUGACUGCUAUCGGAUUGAUACUAAGCCAUGCGAGUCAUUGUAGUAAUACAAGGCAUACGGCUCAGUAACGCGUAGUCAACCUAACCUAUGGACGGGAAUAACCUCGGGAAACUGAGUAUAAUGCCCGAUAGAACAUUAUGCCUGGAAUGGUUUAUGUUCCAAAUGAUUUAUCGCCGUAGGAUGGGACUGCGGCCUAUCAGUUUGUUGGUGAGGUAAUGGCCCACCAAGACUAUUACAGGUACGGGCUCUGAGAGGAGUAGCCCGGAGAUGGGUACUGAGACACGGACCCAGGCCCUAUGGGGCGCAGCAGGCGAGAAAACUUUGCAAUGUGCGAAAGCACGACAAGGUUAAUCCGAGUGGUUUCUGCUAAAGGAACCUUUUGUUAGUCCUAGAAACACUAACGAAUAAGGGGUGGGCAAGUUCUGGUGUCAGCCGCCGCGGUAAAACCAGCACCUCAAGUGGUCAGGAUGAUUAUUGGGCCUAAAGCAUCCGUAGCCGGAUCUGUAAGUUUUCGGUUAAAUCUGUACGCUCAACGUACAGGCUGCCGGGAAUACUGCAGAUCUAGGGAGUGGGAGAGGUAGACGGUACUCGGGAGGAAGGGGUAAAAUCCUUUGAUCUCUCGAUGACCACCUGUGGCGAAGGCGGUCUACCAGAACACGUCCGACGGUGAGGGAUGAAAGCUGGGGGAGCAAACCGGAUUAGAUACCCGGGUAGUCCCAGCUGUAAACUAUGCAAACUCAGUGAUGCAUUGACUUGUGGUCAAUGCAGUGCUGCAGGGAAGCCGUUAAGUUUGCCGCCUGGGAAGUACGUACGCAAGUAUGAAACUUAAAGGAAUUGGCGGGGGAGCACCAC